This 386-nucleotide ribosomal RNA is filed under the name Streptomyces coeruleorubidus. RNAcentral describes it as "bacterial SSU rRNA". It matches the Rfam family "Bacterial small subunit ribosomal RNA", at positions 335 to 733 of the family's 1533-position model. The record is from RNAcentral. Lineage: Bacteria; Bacillati; Actinomycetota; Actinomycetes; Kitasatosporales; Streptomycetaceae.
ACUCCUACGGGAGGCAGCAGUGGGGAAUAUUGCACAAUGGGCGAAAGCCUGAUGCAGCGACGCCGCGUGAGGGAUGACGGCCUUCGGGUUGUAAACCUCUUUCAGCAGGGAAGAAGCGAAAGUGACGGUACCUGCAGAAGAAGCGCCGGCUAACUACGUGCCAGCAGCCGCGGUAAUACGUAGGGCGCAAGCGUUGUCCGGAAUUAUUGGGCGUAAAGAGCUCGUAGGCGGCUUGUCACGUCGGUUGUGAAAGCCCGGGGCUUAACCCCGGGUCUGCAGUCGAUACGGGCAGGCUAGAGUUCGGUAGGGGAGAUCGGAAUUCCUGGUGUAGCGGUGAAAUGCGCAGAUAUCAGGAGGAACACCGGUGGCGAAGGCGGAUCUCUGGG